Molecule: ribosomal RNA, 460 nt
Filed under: uncultured bacterium
Lineage: Bacteria
Description: partial 16S ribosomal RNA
Rfam family: Bacterial small subunit ribosomal RNA
Source: RNAcentral
CCUACGGGGCGCUGCAGUGAGGAAUAUUGGUCAAUGGGCUUACGCCUGAACCAGCCAAGUCGCGUGAGGGAAGACUGCCCUAUGGGUUGUAAACCUCUUUUGUCAGGGAGCAACGCCGGCUUCGUGUAGCCGGACUGAGAGUACCUGAAGAAAAAGCAUCGGCUAACUCCGUGACAGCAGCCGCGGUAAUACGGAGGAUGCGAGCGUUAUCCGGAUUUAUUGGGUUUAAAGGGUGCGUAGGCGGAAUGCCAAGUCAGCGGUAAAAUCGCGGGGCUCAACCUCGCUCCGCCGUUGAACCUGGCGUUCUUGAGUGGGCGAGAAGUAUGCGGAAUGCGUGGUGUAGCGGUGAAAUGCAUAGAUAUCACGCAGAACUCCGAUUGCGAAGGCAGCAUACCGGCGCCCAACUGACGCUGAAGCACGAAAGCGUGGGUAUCGAACAGGAUUAGAUACCCUGGUAGUC